RNAcentral lists this RNase P RNA (387 nucleotides) under Myxococcales bacterium. Its description in RNAcentral is "RNase P RNA component class A". It matches the Rfam family "Bacterial RNase P class A". Rfam says of the family: Ribonuclease P (RNase P) is a ubiquitous endoribonuclease, found in archaea, bacteria and eukarya as well as chloroplasts and mitochondria. Its best characterised activity is the generation of mature 5'-ends of tRNAs by cleaving the 5'-leader elements of precursor-tRNAs. The record is from RNAcentral. Lineage: Bacteria; Pseudomonadati; Myxococcota; Myxococcia; Myxococcales.
GCAGAGGAACAGAGGAUCGUCGGUGGCGGGUUCAUCCCCGUCGCGGGAGGAAAGUCCGAGCUCCGCAGGGCAGGGUGCCGGGUAACGCCCGGUGAGAGUGAUCUCGAGGAAAGUGCCACAGAGAAGCAGACCGCCCCGGCGCCGCGAGGCCCCGGGGCAAGGGUGAAAAGGUGGGGUAAGAGCCCACCGCGCUCCUGGUAACAGGGGCGGCAUGGAACACCACACCCGGAGCAAGGCCACAUAAGGGGGCGCUCGAGGACGGCCCGUCCGAGCCCCCGGGUAGGCUGCUCGAGCCACGCGGCGACGCGUGGCCUAGAGGAAUGAUCAUCACCGCGCGGCGGGUAACCAAGGCGCGGCACAGAACUCGGCUUACGGGCCUCUGCGACC